Non-coding RNA from Microcebus murinus (gray mouse lemur), 1827 nucleotides. The record is from RefSeq and is a predicted model, not a curated record. NCBI's taxonomy places the organism in Eukaryota, Metazoa, Chordata, Mammalia, Primates, Cheirogaleidae.
CCUGCUCAGUUGCUGCGAUCCCGAGUGGCGGCUUUGGGCGCCGAGCGGGCGUCGGGCCGCUGCUUACCGGGUGGCAGCCGGAAGGUGUUUCAUUCCCCGCCGCAUUACGGUGAGCCGCGCUCCUGCACCCCAGCGGCGCGUGGCCGGGGACACGGUGGCUGGCUGGCGCCGCCCCGGAGCCCGAUGGGCUCGGAGCAGCGCGCGGUGCCGAGAGAGGCGGCUCGUGCUGCCUGCAUGCCCGUGCUGAGCAAGAGCCGCGUGCUGAGCUGGUAGCCAGGCUCAGCCAUCGGUCAGCCGUGAGGUGACCUUAGAUCCACGAUAAACUGCGGAACAGAGUCUGUUAGUUAUUUAGGUUGCCUAUCAGCAAGGAAUGGAUUUCCAUGGACAAACAAGUUUGAAGACCUGAAUUCGGUUCCAGUGCUGCCGUUCAAAGGGUAACAUUAUAACCUAAAUUUGGUCUCAGAAAAAUUCUCAACACGGCAACCCAGAAAAUCAGCAGCGAUCUCUGAAACUGGUGUGCACCACAGACACCCAUCAGCCGACAAUAUCUGCUCUAGGACCGUUCACGUCCUUGAGUCCUUCUCCUAGGUGCUUCCUGAUUUGAUAAGUCACUCCGAAGCUCUAGAAAUGGAGAUUGAAUAAACGUGUGGAGGACCAUGUAGGCCAGAGACUAACAGGAAGCCAUAUAGGGUCUCAGUGAAGAGCAUCCGUGCUGUGGGUGGCGCAUUCACAUCUUCGGUGUACAGUGAAACAAAGAAGAUCCUUUUAAAGAAAUACCUUAUUAGUUUCAUCAUCCUUCAAAAGGCGAUAUUAUUUUUGAAUUCUUGAACAUUAUUGUGUGCACUCAGAUAUCAUACCAUACAAAGAAGCAGAUGGUGAGGCAGUAAUUGUACAGAAGUGGCAACUGGUUUCCUGAUCUAGGAGAGCCAUUAUGGUGCCUUUCAUCUCUGAAAUACUUGAGCUAAGCAUGCUUGUUUUGGGACCUUUCUGCAUUAUUAGUGGUGUGUCCUAAUGCAUGCUACUUAAAAUCUUAGUGCCAGUUCCCUCAUCUCUACGGAUAUCACAGAACCUUAAGGGUUGUUGGGAUGAUCAAACAUCAUGACACAUAUGCAGAGGACCACAGCUGAGUAAAUUCGCGUGCUAAUCUAUUAUUAGCUAUUGUAGUUGUGAGAUAAUGCUGGCAUUGAGGAUGCUUAAAAUGUGUUGCUGAGUGCAAUAGUCCAUUUCUCAGCUACUGUGUGUAUCCCAUAGUCACAACCAUCAGGACACCCUAUGAAAAGCAGGCGUUACCUGUCAAACUCCAGCCAGGUCUCCAGGAUGGGAGAUCCACUGCUCCUGUGGAUCUGUCUUCUGAAUUAUUUAAAAUGAUAGAAUCUCAAAACAUUAUUCCUGACUAUGCAAAUAAUUGUCAUCAGAGGAAAUUUUUAGGAAAAGUAAGAACUUGUAAAAAAAAAUUACUUUUUGGGAAAACUCAUUCCAGGAGGAAGGCCAUCAUUUCCCAAUUGUACUCUCAGAUUACACGGUGAAGAAUAAGGCAUCAGGCAAUAGUGAGAAUUGCAUGAAUGACUAGGGCCUAAAGAAGAAUUUGCAGGUGUCUGCACUCCUCAUGGCAGCCUGGCCCACACUUUGUUUAACGUUGACAUGCUCAUGAAACCAUGCAACCCAUCAUUGACACUGCACUGGGCAGUGGGUAAACAGGGACACUAGCUAUUCCUUGGUUGGGAGAGUGCUGCACAGCUCUAGCCACUGCAUGGCUUCUUUACAGCAAGGAAACAAAAUGAAGAGAGCCCACAUAAUGUUAAAGAAAUAAUUGCAAACCAUAUAUCU